This 1745-nucleotide ribosomal RNA is filed under the name Virgibacillus marismortui. RNAcentral describes it as "bacterial SSU rRNA". It matches the Rfam family "Bacterial small subunit ribosomal RNA". Lineage: Bacteria; Bacillati; Bacillota; Bacilli; Caryophanales; Bacillaceae. The record is from RNAcentral.
GUUUGGAACAGUAUGGUUCCUCUGAGUUUGAUCCUGGCUCGGAGGUCGUAAAAGGUAACCCUAUUGGAUCCCCUAAAGUUUGAUCCCGGCUCAAAAAGUCCUAACAAAGUAACCAGGAUUGAAUCCUCUUUACUUUUAUCCCGGCCCGAUAAAACUUUUUGUUGCCCCGGUUUUUUUUCCCCGCUGUUUUUAUCUGGCACUUACAAAUGGGUUCGCUGUUCACUAGCUAUUUUCCCUUUUUACUUUUUACCUGGGCGAAAAUCCCCUGCCAACCUGACUGGGAGAUCAUCCACACUGGGAGUGAAACACGGCCAGGAUUCUAACGGGACGCAGGGCUAGGGAAUCCUCGCCAGUGGAGGAAAGACUGACUGAGCAUUCCGGUGGGAGUGUUGAAGGUUUUCGGAUCGUAAAGCUCUGUUGUCUCGGAAUAAUGCUUGCCGUUCAAAUAAGGUUGCACCUUCUCUGUACCUGACCAGAAAGCAACGGCUAAGUACGUGCCAUCAGCCGCGGUAAUACGUAGGGGGCAAGCGUUGUCCGGAAUUAUUGGGCGUAAAGCACACCCAGGCGGUCCUUUAAGUCUGAUGUGAAACCCCACAACUUAACCGUGAAGGGCUUUGAAAACUGGAUGACUUGAGUGUGAGANGAGAGUGGAAUUCCACUUGUACGAUAAAUGCGGAAGAUCUUAACAACACCUUGACUAAGGCUACUCUCUGGUCUGUAACUGACCCUAAAGUGCAAAACCUGGGGACCCAACAAAAUUAAAUACCUGGUUUUCCACCCCUUAACAUAUGAGUGCUACAGUUAAGGAAUUCCUCCCUUUAUCGCUGAAGUUAACCCAUUAAUUACUCCACCAGGAAUUACUUCCCUUCGUAAUUUGAAAUCGCUCGGUUAUCCUUGGAGUGACUUUAAAACUGGAGGNCUUAAGUCAGAAGGAGAGGAAGUGGAUUUCCUCGUGUAGCGGUUGAAUGUGUAGAGAUGUGGAGGAACACCCAGUGACAAAAGCGACUCUUGGUCUAAAAACUGACGUUGAGGUGCGAAAGCGUGGGAAGCAAACAGGAUUAGAUUCCCUGGUAGUCCACACCGUAAACGAUAGUACUGGGUGUUAGAGGGUUUCCGCCUUUUAGUCUGAAGUUAAACGCUUUAAUCACUCCCCCGGGGGAGUACGCCCGCAAGGUUAAAACUCAAAAAAAUUAACGGGGGCCCGCCCAAGGGGGGGAGCAUGUGUUUUAUUUUGAAGCAACGGAAAAAACCUUCCCAGUUCUUGCCAUCCUCGACCUUUCCAAGAGAUAGUAUGUUCCUUUGGGGAAUAGAGUAACAGGGGGCGCAUGGUUUUGUUAAGCUCGUGUCGGGAAAUUUGGGUUUAAUUCCCGCAAGGAGCGCAACCUUUGCUUUUAUUUCCCAGCAUUUAGUUGGGCACUCUAAGGUGACUGCCGGUGACAAACCGGAGGAAGGUGGGGAUGACGUCAAAUCAUCAUGCCCCUUAUGACCUGGGCUACACACGUGCUACAAUGGAUGGUACAAAGGGUAGCGAAGCCGCGAGGUCAAGCAAAUACCAUAAAACCAUUGUCAGUUCGGAUUGCUUAUUCCAACUCGCGUAAGUGAAACCAAGGUAACCAGUAAUGGACCCUCAGCAUUUUGCCCCGGGUUCGGUAAGUGGUAACAAGGUAACCAGUAUUGGAUCCUCUAGAGUUUGAUCCUGGCUCAGGAAGUCGUAACAAGGUAACCAGUAUGGACCUCUAGAGUUC